Molecule: microRNA precursor, 148 nt
Filed under: Olea europaea subsp. europaea
Lineage: Eukaryota; Viridiplantae; Streptophyta; Magnoliopsida; Lamiales; Oleaceae
Source: RNAcentral
GCCAAAAUAGCAUUCACCUGCAUACACAUCUGCACCUCCUUUUCCUAUUCUUGAAUCUAAUUUCCAUUCGUGUGAGCGAUGAGAUCUAAAACAAAAGUAAAGAGGAAGAAGGUGCAGGUGUAAAUGCAGAUAAAGGCAGCAUCUUGGC